UUGGGCUGAAAUGAUGUGUAAGUUUUUAACCGGCACUGAUGUUCCUCUGUGCAGGCUUCAAGUCUGGGAUCAUCAAGGGAUGUGAAUGAAGGUCUGUGGCAUCUGGGGUGAGUACCAGUCUGUGGAGAGUUCAGGAUGUGGAGUGACAGGAGGAGCCAGCUGUGUUUUGGUUCUGCAAGGUCCUUCCACGCAUCUGCAUUCCAGCCCUUCCAGAUGUUGAAGUGGCAGCCCCAGGUUGGGGUCAGAGCAAGCUGAGCAUCUUCUUGGUGGACCUACCACCCCUUCCCAUCGCACCUCUGAGUUCAGCGUUACCUGUGUCCGUCCUCUCAGUGCACCAGAAACCUGUUGGAGGAGUGGAGCUGCGGGACAACCUGGCAGCAGGAAGAGGAGAAAAAUUUUGAGAACAUUCUGUUCAGUCUUCAGUCUCACUGAUGCUGAGAUUCUGCAAAUUCUUUCCAUAUCAGACCACAAGCUGGUAGUUCUGGUCUUCACUCUGGUGUUAAGGCAGCUGGGUCACACUGUCCUCUGAGGCUGUAGUAUCUUCGAGGAGCUGUUCUGUGUGAAACCGUUCAGAUGAUUUUUCUUUUGGUAACGUGUAUUAAUGCUGCAAUGACCGCUGCUAGAAACUCCAAGCAGAAGAACUGCAACUGUCCGCUCGGCACCCAGCGCACUCCUGAGUGCACAGGAGGCUUCGGCUGCACAUCCCCGGAUCUUCUGAAGGCACCUGAUAACUCAAGAUAUUCUCUGAUUUCCCAGUCCUACAGCAAGUUCUACACCACAGCUGUAUCAGAGAAGCACUGGGAACAGGCUUUGGGCUCAUCGAGGUCUCAUCUGGCAGUGUGUCCUAGGUAGGCGGUAGAUAAUUUUUUCAUUAGUUUAUAAUUUCAUUGAAGAACUUGAGAAUAAAUAUU
This 911-nucleotide long non-coding RNA is filed under the name Calidris pugnax (ruff). RNAcentral describes it as "lncRNA (ENSCPUG00000002289.1)". Lineage: Eukaryota; Metazoa; Chordata; Aves; Charadriiformes; Scolopacidae. The record is from RNAcentral.